GCGGCGCUGUCAGGGAUGGCAACAGGCGGUCUCUGUGCUGUGUUUACUGGCACAACGCUGGAUCGGUGAAAGGGUGAAGACACUACCGUUUUUUAAGAAUUUAAGUAAAGAUUUUAGUUGUUGUUUUUUUUAUCUUUUUUUUAAAUAGUUCCUGUUGAAGUUCUGCCUUUUAUCUUAUCUGUCUACUGCGUCUGAGGCGAGCAGAUGGCACACUACCAUAAUCUGCUUUCCUCUCAUGAGCCAUGUGCUUGAGUAGAGACAGCCUGUGUAAGUAUUCCAGACGACCACAGCAGGCCCAAAUCCUAGCUAUCAUGUGAAGGCUUUGACCUCCUCCUGGACAUCGUACCAUUAAGCUGUGCUGCCUUACCCAAGGCGCUGAACUGCGAAAAAAAGGAGGGAAAAAUGUCGCCCCCGGCACGACCAUCAUUAUUUAUUUAACGUCGCUACAUCAGGAGGCCUCUUUGCUGCCGAGGAUGUAUUGGCUCCACAGGCACAGAGGA
Molecule: long non-coding RNA, 500 nt
Filed under: Astyanax mexicanus (Mexican tetra)
Lineage: Eukaryota; Metazoa; Chordata; Actinopteri; Characiformes; Acestrorhamphidae
Description: lncRNA (ENSAMXG00005010613.1)
Source: RNAcentral